This is a long non-coding RNA of Apis dorsata (giant honeybee), 657 nucleotides long. RefSeq lists it as uncharacterized. The transcript has 2 exons. The record is from RefSeq and is a predicted model, not a curated record. Lineage: Eukaryota; Metazoa; Arthropoda; Insecta; Hymenoptera; Apidae.
CGUCGUAGUUAUAAUUUGGAAUAAAAUUUUAUUCGAAAAUUUUGAAAUAGAAAAAAAAAAACAAAGUUUCCAUUUGAAGAUUUGGAAAGGAAAGUUUGAAAGUUUAAAAAUAAAAUUCUAAACUUUCGAUUUGGAAAUGAAUCGACGUCAAUGACGCAUCGUUACGCGACUACAUUAUCGUUUAUUUACAAGUAGUAUAAGUACAGGUGACGAGGAGAUGCUUGCUCGUAGAUAUGGUUACACAGGUGUGCAUCGUCGACGAUGUGCAAGCGGUGCAUGAAAUAAAGAAGAAGGAGGGAAAUCGAGUCACAUGCCGGAAAAUGUCAACCACGUGCAGAUAAUUUACUUGCGUGUUACAUCAUUUACGGUAAAGCGUGUGGAGAAAAAUAUCGUGUAACAUAUUAUGAACCACUCGCCUGUCGAUUAAGCCAAGGACGUUGUCAUUGAUUUUUUGGAUAAAAAAUACAUAAUGUUAUCGAACUGCAAAAAAGUGUUAUUCAUCGACGUAAUUAAGAUAUGUAUAGUUUAUUCUUGUACAAAUUUUUUAUUUUAAUGUCAUUUGAUUCGUUUAAUCAAUGUUAUACAUCUCCAUAAGGGAAUUCAAGUUUAUUUAAGAAGAAUAUUGAAAAAUAUUUUCGCUAUUUUUUUUUUUUUUUU